GUUUCUUGGUUCCUUUUUCUUUAGCUUUUGAGCGCCGCGUAUGGAAGGAGGACCUUCCUGAUGGCAUGAUGGCACCAAGGCAGCUGUCCUUGACUAAAACAGGGACCGAGAACCUCAUGCAGCAGGUGGCCCAGCCCAGCUGGAAGAUUCCAGAAGCCAGUCCUGGCGGCCCGGCCCUCGCCAUCCAGGAGGGCCGCGCUGAAUCUCAGCCCCUACCUCCCCACCAGCUGCUCCAGACGUCAUCUCAGGACGCACAUCGAACAUAAGAAACUCGUGCUUUGCAAAGGAAGGAGCCAGGGAUGUGUGACGCUGACCUGCCGUGUGCUUCCCUUGUAAUUCGGGGCUUUUCCAUGUGUGAGAGGAGAAGAGUGCCAGCUCCCCAUUUUACAGCCGAGGACACCUGGCUUAACGCGGCCGAGGAUCGUGGGGCGGGCACGUGACCUCCGGCCUCUGACGCUCCCUGACGCUCGGAGACGGGCCGGUGCUCUCCGUGCCAGCAGGUCAACCAGCUCUGGCCAUUCUACAGCUCCUCGUUCAUUACUCUGCUUUCAAACUUCCUUGUAUUUUAUUUAAACAUGUUAAUUGCA
Molecule: long non-coding RNA, 587 nt
Organism: Neofelis nebulosa (Clouded leopard)
Lineage: Eukaryota; Metazoa; Chordata; Mammalia; Carnivora; Felidae
Exons: 2
Source: RefSeq, a predicted model, not a curated record